CUGCACUGGGAGAGGAACAAGGCUGUCCUGCUGCCUCUGCUCAUGGGGCCUGCUUGCCAUCUCUUGGCACCUUUUCUAUGAGAUUCCGCCAACCCUGAAGGCUCCUCUACUGAAGCUCUGACCGCAGUCCUCUUGUCAUCAGGGUGAGGUGCUUUUUCCCCCCAUCUCCUUCCUGGCUGGAGAGAGGAGCAAGAUAAGUCCAAGCAUCAGCAAAUCUUCCCAUGUCACGUGGGAAGAUGCCUGUUGAGGCCAUGUCACUUGGGGAGCUGGCAGGGAGAAGGUAGUGGACAAGAUUGUGUUGCUCCCAUAAAAUGGUCCCCAAGCUCCUGGACACAAGCCUCAAUCCAUCCUGGGGAGAAUCCUAGGCCAGGUACCUGUCCCUGCCCAUGUGUGGACUUGCUGUGCAACUCAGGUUCAAAUCCUGCAACAAGAGAAUCCGACUAGCCAAGUCCAGUGCUUUCCCAGCUCAUACACCUCACAGGUGCACACACCUGGCCCAGUCAGCUGUG
Choloepus didactylus (southern two-toed sloth) is the source of this 509-nucleotide long non-coding RNA. RefSeq lists it as uncharacterized. Lineage: Eukaryota; Metazoa; Chordata; Mammalia; Pilosa; Megalonychidae. The transcript has 3 exons. The record is from RefSeq and is a predicted model, not a curated record.